Molecule: unclassified non-coding RNA, 1380 nt
Filed under: Zea mays
Lineage: Eukaryota; Viridiplantae; Streptophyta; Magnoliopsida; Poales; Poaceae
Description: misc RNA Zm00001eb178790
Source: RNAcentral
CGCAUCACGUGAUUAAUUAUCGCACCUGAAUGAAAUGCAUUAUGCACAUGAAUGCAUAUAGACAGGAAUAUCAAAAACCCUAAAUAGUGUUGCGCGAUGGCGAAUUUAAACACCUAGCGGCGAGGCAUUGUACAAGUUUAUACGAUACUACUGGUUAUCGACCUAGUCAGCUAAUAAAAAUAGUGAAGUAGCUUACCUAAAUUCGACUUGGAAUUGCAGAAACGACGACGAUCACAUGUUUAAGAAGAUCGUCGAAUAUUUGACGAGCGCCACGCGAGAAUCGCUUCUUCACCCAAAUCUCGGGAUUUCUUGAUGGCACACAGAAUGACGACGCAAUCGUUUUUUGGAGCGAGCUGGAACCUGGGCACGCGCGCACAUAGGAGCAACGACGGCCAGAUGUCAGAGAGCCGAGCAAGACGCGACCCAACGAUCUGACGCGCGCGGCGUCGAGGAAGUUCCACGACUACGCCACGGCGAACGAUGUCGACAACAAGACCAGGGUGGCACAGAUCCAGAACUGUUGCACGCACGACACGACGACGAGGACCUAGGAUGUGCGACACACGACACGCAGUCAGCCUAUCGCACAACCGAGCGAUGACGACGAACAGAGAGCUUCACACGCGGCCAACAGAUAGCUUGCGCGCAGGGACUUCACGGCGCAUGGCGCUGGGCGCGUAAGGAGCAGGACGCACACCGGCGAGCUGAGCGACGGCAAGAAGCUCAACGCAUGGCACCAGAGAGCUGGAACAGACAAGCUGCAGACCACGACGCUGGAGGAACCUCAUGGUGCGCAAACACCAGAGAACUCGACGGCGACGCAUGUGCAAGGAGACACGCGCGCGUAGGAAAAUCCACGACGCGGCGGUCAGGGAGCUCGACCGGCGGUCUGCAGCCGAGCGCACGCAGCAGCCAUGGGAGGAAGAACGGCUAGGCACCGGCCAACAGGGGAGCUCGGCUGGAGAGCAGCGAGCAGGAACAAUCGGCCAUGGAUUGGGCGCCUGGCGAGCAGACAGAGGGAGGAAGCGAGGGCGCUUGGGGGAGGAGAGUGACUGCGCGCGCAGGAAGCUCUGCUGGAGGAGACGGACCACAUCUGGGCACCAGAGACGAGCGGCUGGGCGAACAGGGAGGGUGGUCGAGCGCCAUGGGAACAGGGGCUGGGCGCCGAGCGGAAGGGAGCCGGAGCGCGGCUGGAGGGAGAAGACUAGGGGUGAGCCAGGGAGCCGAGCAUCGGCCAGGGGCACGCAGCGAGAAAUGAGAGGCCACGACAAAGGGAAGAGAUCUAGGCGAUGGAUAUCUCUGCAGGAAUUGAGCGGCGGAAGAAAAAUCUCCACGCCCGCCCGCGGCAGUGAGCGGUGGGAGGAUGAGGAUCGGCUGGAA